UGGAUAAUUCAUUAUUUUGGUUUUCAAUAAAGUAGACUAGUUUUUGAAAGUAAAAGAGCAAUAUCAGCAGAGUUGGUAUUGCUCUUUUACUUUAUCAGAGUCUUUUUUUUAUACAUUUUCUUAUACAUAUUUAUACAUAAAUUGUGGAUUUAUUAUAAUAUUCUUUAGUGUUCUUUAUUUCAACAUAAGCGAUAAAAAAAUGGGAGUUUCAUAUUUUUUUUUCGUUUCGUAUUUCGAAAUGUAAACAAAAAAAUGAAUGUUUCACCACCACUUUUUUUCUUAGAAGACGAGUAAAAACUUAGAAGAAAAAAAAGAUGCGAACGAAAGAGUACAAAUUAAAUUGAAGUCUCAGUAAUUUUAACAAACAUAAGAUAGGGGCGGAUGUAGCCAAGUGGAUC
RNAcentral lists this unclassified non-coding RNA (398 nucleotides) under Jacksonia stackhousei. RNAcentral describes it as "partial miscellaneous RNA". The record is from RNAcentral. Lineage: Eukaryota; Viridiplantae; Streptophyta; Magnoliopsida; Fabales; Fabaceae.